AGAGGAGAGGCAGGGGAGGAGGACGAGGAGGGAGGAAGGGAGGCAGGAGGAGCGAGGGGCUCCGAGAAAGGGGACAUGUCCCCCUCCAAAAGGUCUUCCCCUUGCCCCAAAAUCGCUCCUUUAUUUACCAUUCCGCCCUGCUCUGCUUUAGCCUUUGCUUUCUGGCCUCUGUUUUGUGAUUCGCCAUGAGUUCUUUUGUGUUCCUUUUGGUUUCUGUUUUGUGGCCCCGGGAAAUUUUUUUUCCGAGAAGGAGUUUUCCGUUUGUUGGUCGAAAGCAAAAGAGUUUCUGUGUCACUAUUUUACGUUUUUAUGUGAAAGUUUUGGUCUUCUUCUGGCAGAUUAUGUUUGUGUUGUGCGUCUUGGCUUGUUGAUUUCCUCUUCUUCCUUGUAAUAUAUGUUCUGGGAUCUGUUUGAUGGGUUGGAUUUGUGUCCGUGGUCUCUUCAUCCUAAUGAUCUCUCUCUCUCUCUCUCUNUCUCUCUCUCUCUCUCUCU
Molecule: long non-coding RNA, 492 nt
Filed under: Phoenix dactylifera (date palm)
Lineage: Eukaryota; Viridiplantae; Streptophyta; Magnoliopsida; Arecales; Arecaceae
Description: long non-coding RNA (PDAC_LNC013444)
Source: RNAcentral